Ictalurus punctatus (channel catfish) is the source of this 1305-nucleotide long non-coding RNA. NCBI's taxonomy places the organism in Eukaryota, Metazoa, Chordata, Actinopteri, Siluriformes, Ictaluridae. The record is from Ensembl.
AUUAAAGCUCGCACUCCCAUGUGUGUAAUAACAAUAAAUUGAAUUGAACUGAGCCGAAUCGUUCAUCAUUCGCAGCUCUGCUAAUGAGCAAACCGUAUCAUGCCGCUGAAUUAUACGGCACCCGACUUACGAGAAUAAUUGCUUGCGAUGGACGAGAAAGGAAAGCAGGGGAAGGUUAGUGCCGGUGCUGUGUCGCGUGUUCGAAACAAACGUCCAGUCUAAAACAGCGCUGACCCCCGAGCUUUAUCUCGCACCGUGACUAAUGUUUUACAUGCACGUAUUCGUAUUCUUUUCCUCCCUGAUGAAGGACAUGCUGCUCAGUCGCUCAUGGACUUUCCUGAGCUUUGUGGAGCUGGUGAACACAUCUUAUCUUAUGGACGGAUCGAUUCGACUCCACGCGUCUCGGCCGAGUCGAGGUCGGGCGAGUGGUCGCGCCACUUCAUUACGCACAGCGCUGCCUCGUGCUGCCAUAAAUAUCCCUCAUACUGCUUUGAGACAAAGUCACACUGGGAGGAGUGAGUGAGACCGAGUGUGAGAGGGAGGAGAGGGAACGAGAGAGAAAGAGUGAAGAUUGAUAUUGUCGUUUACCCUUGGACGACCGGAGGACGCCACCGGCAUAACGAGUUCUGACACUUCAAUUAGCUUCUCGAAGAUAAACAAUGCAAAAAACUAGCAGGCUUGUUUUCUACAGCAAGACUUUCACUCUGAGGUUGAACAACGACAACAUGCCACAGUGUUCCCAUAAAUUGUAUCUUGAGACUUAAACUGACUGUAACCUGAACAUCGUGCCUGAGAGACGAAAUCCCCGAAGUCUGUAAAGCACCGAUUGGACUUUCCUUCAAGUGAAACUGCACUCUUAGAGAAAAAAAUUAAAUAACUAGAACUUUGAUGCCUCCACCGCCAACAUGUCUAGUUGUUUACUUGAAAUACCCUUAAAGUGCACCUAUUAUGGUUUUUCAGAUAUUAUCUUUCAUGUAUAUCUUUUCAGCUAUAUAUGUAGCUGUUUGUGAAUGUAAAAAGUCUGCAAAGUUUCAAAAAUCAAAGCACACGACAAAGAGUUAUCGACUCCCAAACGAAGGAAUCGAUUCUGAACAGCUGAUUCGAGUCGUUAAUGAUUCCUACGUAGGUUUGUAACGAAAUACCCUGCCUCUGAUCUUCAUCUGCUGCUCACUGACAGACAGAGCUGAUGCUCAUUACGGUAGUGGUGUUUCCUUUUUGAAACGCUCUGACGGCGGGAGAACGAUCACAACACACUGGGACGUCUAACCAAUCAGAGCAGAGUAUGCUCUCUGAAAGGAGGAGUUU